GAUAGUGUUUUGGACGAUUGUCUAGUCAUAUUUAUUGAGUGGGAUAUUUUCUUCCAAGUGAAUGAAGAAGAUAUAAUCAAGACAUUCAUGUCAUUUAAAAAGCAGCGGGUAAACAAAGCAAACAAGUAAUAUUGUAAGUUUCUUUUAUGCUAUAUUUCGAACUGUAGUUCAUUUGAACUAUUUUUAUUAUGAUUUGUUAUUAAUCUUUGAAUUUAAGACUUAUCAUGUUAUUUAGUGCAUGUGGUUUACCG
Molecule: long non-coding RNA, 251 nt
Filed under: Setaria viridis
Lineage: Eukaryota; Viridiplantae; Streptophyta; Magnoliopsida; Poales; Poaceae
Description: long non-coding RNA (SVIR_LNC000211)
Source: RNAcentral